This 550-nucleotide ribosomal RNA is filed under the name uncultured Tistrella sp. RNAcentral describes it as "bacterial SSU rRNA". It matches the Rfam family "Bacterial small subunit ribosomal RNA", at positions 18 to 602 of the family's 1533-position model. Lineage: Bacteria; Pseudomonadati; Pseudomonadota; Alphaproteobacteria; Geminicoccales; Geminicoccaceae. The record is from RNAcentral.
CCUGGCUCAGAACGAACGCUGGCGGCAUGCCUAACACAUGCAAGUCGAACGGGGUCGGAACUUCGGUUCCGGCUUACGUGGCGCACGGGUGAGUAACACGUGGGAAUCUGCCCAUCUAUGGGGAAUAACUGCGGGAAACUGCAGCUAAUACCGCAUACGCCCUUCGGGGGAAAGGCUUCGGCCGUAGAUGGAUGAGCCCGCGUCCGAUUAGCUAGUUGGUGGGGUAACGGCCUACCAAGGCGACGAUCGGUAGCUGGUCUGAGAGGAUGAUCAGCCACACUGGGACUGAGACACGGCCCAGACUCCUACGGGAGGCAGCAGUGGGGAAUAUUGGACAAUGGGCGAAGCCUGAUCCAGCAAUGCCGCGUGAGUGAUGAAGGUCUUCGGAUUGUAAAGCUCUUUCGACGGGGAAGAUAAUGACGGUACCCGUAGAAGAAGCCCCGGCUAACUUCGUGCCAGCAGCCGCGGUAAUACGAAGGGGGCUAGCGUUGUUCGGAUUUACUGGGCGUAAAGCGUGCGUAGGCGGCUUAUCAAGUCAGAAGUGAAAGCC